Long non-coding RNA from Pieris brassicae (large cabbage white), 522 nucleotides. RefSeq lists it as uncharacterized. The transcript is spliced from 3 exons. The record is from RefSeq and is a predicted model, not a curated record. NCBI's taxonomy places the organism in Eukaryota, Metazoa, Arthropoda, Insecta, Lepidoptera, Pieridae.
UCUCAGUAUUUAAUUUUUAUUUACCUCCUGAGCCUGAGAGUUAUGGGGACCGAGAACAACAACACAGUGGCAACACUGUAAGUCCUUAUAAUUUUUAAUAAUUUUGCUAUAUAUUUCCCUAAAGUUUUCCAUUGUUGCUAACUGUUUCAUUAGUGCUGUGUUAAAAUAGGAUUUCCUGACAAAAUUAGCGUCUAAACGCUAAUAUUGUGAUUAAAAGUAGUGUCAGUUGGGUUGAAAAAUUAAAUUUUUAUUUCCUUUUACGAAAUAUCUCGCUAUUAAACUUGGCGUUUUGUGGAUUAUACAUAUAAAGUCAGUACUACUUAAGCAAUAUGCUGACUCGCAGAGUCGUUCUCGCACAGACCUUGCCUUACAAGAAGAGUCUAAACUUAGGCUAGCGCUUAGGGAAUUGAAAGCUUCCAGGGAGUUAUGUGCUCAGUUAAUAUAUUAGAGUUAGAGAAGACAAUGAAAGAGAAUUGUUGCAAGAUAACGCCCUUCAGGAUGACUGUGACUUGCUGAAAGGAG